GGAGUUGUGGCUCAGUGGUGGAGUGCUUGCUUUGCACACACGAGGUCCUGGGUUCAACACUCAGCACCA
Molecule: transfer RNA, 69 nt
Filed under: Marmota monax (woodchuck)
Lineage: Eukaryota; Metazoa; Chordata; Mammalia; Rodentia; Sciuridae
Description: tRNA.Ala
Source: RNAcentral